This 440-nucleotide ribosomal RNA is filed under the name uncultured bacterium. Its description in RNAcentral is "partial 16S ribosomal RNA". It matches the Rfam family "Bacterial small subunit ribosomal RNA", at positions 339 to 795 of the family's 1533-position model. The record is from RNAcentral.
CUACGGGGGGCUGCAGUAAGGAAUAUUGCACAGUGGGGGAAACCCUGAUGCAGCAACGCCGCGUGGACGAAGAAGGCCUUCGGGUCGUAAAGUCCUUUUCUGAGGGAAGAGGAAGGACGGUACCUCAGGAAUAAGUCUCGGCUAACUACGUGCCAGCAGCCGCGGUAAAACGUAGGAGGCGAGCGUUAUCCGGAUUCACUGGGCGUAAAGGGCAAGUAGGCGGUUGUUUAAGUUAGGUGUGACAUCUCUCGGCUUAACUGGGAGGGAGCGCUUAAAACUAGGCAACUAGAGGGCGGAAGAAGGGGGUAGAACUCCAAAUGUAGCGGUGGAAUGCUCAGAUAUUUGGAAGAAUACCAGUGGCGAAGGCGACCCCCCGGUCCGUGCCUGACGCUGAGAGGCGAAAGCUAGGGUAGCGAACGGGAUUAGAUACCCCAGUAGUC